RNAcentral lists this ribosomal RNA (1368 nucleotides) under unidentified marine bacterioplankton. RNAcentral's name for it is "bacterial SSU rRNA". It matches the Rfam family "Bacterial small subunit ribosomal RNA", at positions 9 to 1371 of the family's 1533-position model. The record is from RNAcentral.
GAGUUUGAUCAUGGCUCAGAUUGAACGCUGGCGGCAUGCCUUACACAUGCAAGUCGAACGGCAGCAUGAUCUAGCUUGCUAGAUUGAUGGCGAGUGGCGAACGGGUGAGUAAUACAUCGGAACGUGCCCUGUAGUGGGGGAUAACUAGUCGAAAGAUUAGCUAAUACCGCAUACGACCUGAGGGUGAAAGUGGGGGACCGCAAGGCCUCAUGCUAUAGGAGCGGCCGAUGUCUGAUUAGCUAGUUGGUGAGGUAAAGGCUCACCAAGGCGACGAUCAGUAGCUGGUCUGAGAGGACGAUCAGCCACACUGGGACUGAGACACGGCCCAGACUCCUACGGGAGGCAGCAGUGGGGAAUUUUGGACAAUGGGGGCAACCCUGAUCCAGCAAUGCCGCGUGUGUGAAGAAGGCCUUCGGGUUGUAAAGCACUUUUGUCCGGAAAGAAAUCGCACUUACUAAUAUUAGGUGUGGAUGACGGUACCGGAAGAAUAAGGACCGGCUAACUACGUGCCAGCAGCCGCGGUAAUACGUAGGGUCCAAGCGUUAAUCGGAAUUACUGGGCGUAAAGCGUGCGCAGGCGGUUGUGCAAGACCGAUGUGAAAUCCCCGGGCUUAACCUGGGAAUUGCAUUGGUGACUGCACGGCUAGAGUGUGUCAGAGGGGGGUAGAAUUCCACGUGUAGCAGUGAAAUGCGUAGAGAUGUGGAGGAAUACCGAUGGCGAAGGCAGCCCCCUGGGAUAACACUGACGCUCAUGCACGAAAGCGUGGGGAGCAAACAGGAUUAGAUACCCUGGUAGUCCACGCCCUAAACGAUGUCAACUAGUUGUUGGGGAUUCAUUUCCUUAGUAACGUAGCUAACGCGUGAAGUUGACCGCCUGGGGAGUACGGUCGCAAGAUUAAAACUCAAAGGAAUUGACGGGGACCCGCACAAGCGGUGGAUGAUGUGGAUUAAUUCGAUGCAACGCGAAAAACCUUACCUACCCUUGACAUGCCACUAACGAAGCAGAGAUGCAUUAGGUGCUCGAAAGAGAAAGUGGACACAGGUGCUGCAUGGCUGUCGUCAGCUCGUGUCGUGAGAUGUUGGGUUAAGUCCCGCAACGAGCGCAACCCUUGUCUCUAGUUGCUACGAAAGGGCACUCUAGAGAGACUGCCGGUGACGAACCGGAGGAAGGUGGGGAUGACGUCAAGUCCUCAUGGCCCUUAUGGGUAGGGCUUCACACGUCAUACAAUGGUGCAUACAGAGGGUUGCCAAGCCGCGAGGUGGAGCUAAUCCCAGAAAAUGCAUCGUAGUCCGGAUCGUAGUCUGCAACUCGACUACGUGAAGCUGGAAUCGCUAGUAAUCGCGGAUCAGCAUGCCGCGGUGAAUACGU